This 492-nucleotide ribosomal RNA is filed under the name uncultured bacterium. RNAcentral's name for it is "partial 16S ribosomal RNA". It matches the Rfam family "Bacterial small subunit ribosomal RNA", at positions 29 to 507 of the family's 1533-position model. The record is from RNAcentral.
AGUGAACGCUGGCGGUAGGCCUAACACAUGCAAGUCGAACGGCAGCACAGUAAGAGCUUGCUCUUACGGGUGGCGAGUGGCGGACGGGUGAGGAAUACAUCGGAAUCUACUUUUUCGUGGGGGAUAACGUAGGGAAACUUACGCUAAUACCGCAUACGACCUACGGGUGAAAGCAGGGGAUCUUCGGACCUUGCGCGAUUGAAUGAGCCGAUGUCGGAUUAGCUAGUUGGCGGGGAAAAGGCCCACCAAUGCGACGAUCCGUAGCUGGUCUGAGAGGAUGAUCCGCCACACUGGGACUGAGACACGGUCCAGAAUCCUACGCGAGGCCGCAGUGCGGAAUAUUGGACAAUGGGCGCAAGACUGCUCCAGCCAUACCGCGUGGGUGAAGAAGGCCUUCGGGUUGUAGAGCCCUUUUGUUGGGAAAGAAAAGCAGCAGGUUAAUACACCGCUGUUCCGACGGUACCCAAAGAAUAAGCACCGGCUAACUUCGUG